UACGGGGGGGGCAAGCGUUGUUCGGAAUUACUGGGCGUAAAGGGCUCGUAGGCGGCCAACUAAGUCAGACGUGAAAUCCCUCGGCUUAACCGGGGAACUGCCUCUGAUACUGGAUGGCUUGAGAUUGGGAGAGGGAUGCGGAAUUCCAGGUGUAGCGGUGAAAUGCGUAGAUAUCAUCUGGAACGCCAAUGGUGAAGACAGCUCGCUGGGGGUGUACUGACACUGAGACACGAAAGCCAGGGGAGCAAACGGG
Molecule: ribosomal RNA, 253 nt
Filed under: uncultured bacterium
Lineage: Bacteria
Description: partial 16S ribosomal RNA
Rfam family: Bacterial small subunit ribosomal RNA
Source: RNAcentral